CAAAAGUUACCAAAAUACCCCAGGAGCAGAGGAAAGCUGGGCUUUGGGCACUGCUUUUUGCUUUCAGCCAUGUGUGGCUGUGCAAGUCACCCAGGAGUGAGGCCACUAAAUCCUCAUGGGGGUCUAAGCCUCUUCUGCCUGUUUGGAGCCCUCUGCCCUGCUUACCAAGGUGGUGUCAGAGGGCUGCCUUGGCACAGCCUGUGGUACUCCAACAGGGAUUAAUCCCACUGAAUGUGGACAUGGCAACGCCUACACCUGAGCUGUCUAGACAUCCCUUCUAACAAGCAAAAAGCAAGAGGUGUGGCUAGGGGCUGAGUCAUUUUAACCUGACAGCCCAAACAAGCUUGCCUAAUCUGUCCUAAAAAGAUGCUUGUUCUUUUCCAGCAGCUGCACCACGAGCCCAGAGUGCUCAGGUUGGCUGGAGAUCCUGCACUGUAAGGCAAGCUGAAUCCCUCUCCCUGGUUUUGUGUUGGCUGUGGCCAUGUUAAGCAUCAACAGAUGAGAAAGCUGAUUUUUUUAUGUAUUGGUCUCUGUGUCUUCCAGGUCUUCUGCUGUUUCUGGGGUUGAGAAAGGAACAUCCAGCUAUCAAGAAGUCAGACCCUACUGACAGCUACCAUCAGCUGCACACAAAGUCCCCAAAUAUCUUGGUGUCUCCUUUGCCCAAGCAUGAGAUCAUUACCUGUUGUGUGAGGGUAAGUUGGGUGCCUUAGUGAAGAAAAGCCCACAGCACCAGACUUCAGUAAAGAGGUGAGAUUCUAUGUGACUUUUAAGUGUGUGGCUGGUAGUCUGCUAGCUGUUCUCCAGUUCUGGGCUGUUUCCAGAUCCUGGUGAUAGGUACAGGAUUCAGCAGGAGCUCUGGCAGCCAGUCCAUCAGAGCAGCAGUGUAUAGAUCAAGAGAUGGAUGCAAGGAGUCAUCAAGGGUGAAGAGCUGGCUUUAGGAGUUUGCACCCAUCUGAAACCUGUCCAUUGUUUGAGAUAUUAAGCCAUUUUCUGAGCUUCUCAUCAUUAUGUUGUGCUCUUUCUUUCCAUCGAAUUUGUAUAAAGAAGAAGCCUUUGGGGUAGAACUUUUCUGCCUUUGACACUCCCAACUAUUACUGCAAGUUUAUAUUUGUUGUUGUUGAGUAACCAGUAAUAAAUAAUGUUUUGGUCAUGACUCUUAAAAUGGG
RNAcentral lists this long non-coding RNA (1166 nucleotides) under Parus major (Great Tit). RNAcentral's name for it is "lncRNA (ENSPMJG00000019568.1)". Lineage: Eukaryota; Metazoa; Chordata; Aves; Passeriformes; Paridae. The record is from RNAcentral.